AUGAUCAUGAUGACAGGCAUCAACUUAUCCACCAAAGCCAGAGGGCCAUGUUUCAACUCACCAGCAAGGAUACCUUCAGAGUGCAUGGUAACUACAUGUGGAUCUGAUUUAUUGGACUAAAAGACUGUUAAAGUCCUAUACUUCCAUACUGACAGCCAACACACAUCUUUGAUACAGAAUUUCAGCUUCCAAAAUCAACAGUCAAGUCUAUCAAAAAAGAAGACGUCCUUUCUCUGCAGAAAUGUGCUUACCAGAUUCCUACACCAGGACAGAAAGGAGGAUGUAUCCUUUCCAUCGAGGACACUGAGCUGUAACAGGACAAAAACGUUCACCCUUC
Long non-coding RNA from Odocoileus virginianus texanus, 337 nucleotides. RefSeq lists it as uncharacterized. The record is from RefSeq and is a predicted model, not a curated record. Lineage: Eukaryota; Metazoa; Chordata; Mammalia; Artiodactyla; Cervidae.